This 253-nucleotide ribosomal RNA is filed under the name uncultured bacterium. RNAcentral's name for it is "partial 16S ribosomal RNA". It matches the Rfam family "Bacterial small subunit ribosomal RNA", at positions 524 to 776 of the family's 1533-position model. The record is from RNAcentral.
UACGUAGGGUGCAAGCGUUAAUCGGAAUUACUGGGCGUAAAGCGUGCGCAGGUGGUUUUGUAAGUCUGACGUGAAAUCCCCGGGCUCAACCUGGGAAUUGCGUUGGAGACUGCAAGGCUAGAAUAUGGCAGAGGGGGGUAGAAUUCCACGUGUAGCAGUGAAAUGCGUAGAGAUGUGGAGGAACACCGAUGGCGAAGGCAGCCCCCUGGGUCAAGAUUGACGCUCAUGCACGAAAGCGUGGGGAGCAAACAGG